GUUCAGAGUUAGAGGCUGGCCCUCCUCCUUGCCUUUCUCUCUCAGGAGGCUGCAUGCCCCAGAUGGGAUUUGAACCCUGGCCUCCAGAGUCAUAGUCCAGACGCACUCAAAGGACUACAACACAUUGGCUCUUUUAUAGCAAACAUGAUGCUGUCUCAGUGCUGGAAGUCAAGCUUUGUAUGCUCUCCAUGUCAAAGAAGAAACAGAAGAUUGGUGAGUGACAGCUUGGAAGAAUCUAAUGAGAAAGUGAAAAUUAGUGGCAACGUCACAUAUCUGUAUUUGAGUUCUUAGGAUGGGCAGUAGAGAAGUUUAUGUUAAACAUAAGCCAUAAACUAAAAGAAGAAAUGGGCUAUGAAACAAAGUGGUGCCGAAGAGUGUGUCCAAAGAAAAGGGAAAUUGAAAAGGCUAAAAGUUGUAACCAUGAGUUUACCUUUAACUGUAAAGAGUUGUAUACAAUUUUAGCAUUACCCAAGUCAGAGCUACCUGUGAAAAUGGAGACAGGAUAGUCAGAGGCACACAAGCACUUGGGUGCUGAAUACUGCUGGGUCAAGAACUUCAAGUGCUGGAGGAAGAGGAAACUGUUUUCCCAAGUGCCUGCCUCUCCCAGCUCUACAUACAACAAUGGCUUAGAACCUGAAUGUCGCCAGGUGAUUUUUGAAGGGAUACAGCCUAUAAGAGCCCAUGAACCAACCCUUAAUCUCCACCUUUCAUUAUGACUGAGCAGUGGCUAAGCAACCAGUGUGCAACAUUUAUUCCUGAUUAUGCCAGAUGUCAUUGCAUUAUUGAUCCCCUGCCUGCAUUAUGCAGCUGUUGCCUUUUCUGUGGUAUUUAUAUUGUUCACUACAUCAGACAGGGCAUCAUGUGUAAACCUUGAAUUCAAUUGGUCUGGAAUCAAAUAAAAUGUG
This is a long non-coding RNA of Sceloporus undulatus (fence lizard), 905 nucleotides long. RefSeq lists it as uncharacterized. The transcript is spliced from 6 exons. The record is from RefSeq and is a predicted model, not a curated record. Lineage: Eukaryota; Metazoa; Chordata; Lepidosauria; Squamata; Phrynosomatidae.